CGGGGGACUCACGGCGAGGAGAGAGGAAGAGAACCAACGGAAAGAGAAAGGAGAGGGAGAGGGAGAGAGAGGAGGCGUGAGAGAAGAAGAGAGAAGAGGAAAAGGGAAGCUUGACGGCUAGGGUUUUCUAGUCUCUCUAAAUCUCUGCAGAGCUUCGCUCUAGUUUCAGAAUGAGAGAAAAAUGAGAGGAGGCAGCUUUAUUUAUAGGAAAAGGAGGGAACCCUAGGUCAUUUACCCUAAUGGGCUGCAGUCUUAACGGGCUCUCCUUAAGAAAAUUUUUGGGCUAGGAACCGGGCCGUUACAAUUCUCCCCUGUUAAUCGGAAUUCGUCCCCGAAUUCCAAGCCCUAGACUUCCAAACUUAACAUCCGAUAACAAAAGGAACUCACACAAUCACACAUCAUACAAGGGAGGCACACAAGGCGAGAACAACUUUGCUCGGGGAUCUUUUAAAAACCAAUGAAUGAAUUAAGCUCAAAAAGAAAUUUUGCAAAUACAAUGGAUCCGAUCAAAAUCAUAAUAACGUAUAGAUAUAAUGGGUGGUUUUGAAAUCAUUUCCAGGAGUGUUAGAAGAAACAAAACUUUUACAAACUCUUUUCUUUUAAUGAAAACAAGUUUUUUUUUUUUUUUUUUUUUUUUUUUUUUUUUUUUCGAAAACGUCGGAAAUGCUGAUCCCUUAGGACAGAACUAAGGGAUCUUAACCCGCUCUGAUACCAAUUGUAACAGCCCGAUUCCCCGGAGUCCGACCGGGGUUAUCGAAGGGGCGUUAUGGACACGUGUCUACUCAUCUAGACAACCCUACGUGUCCCGUUACUGGUCCCGAGAGACGAGCGCAUAACCUUCUUUGAAAUACCGUCAUACCCACAUCCAUAUACUUCUACUUACAGUCCUGCGCACAGGAAAAAUGGAAAUGGAGGGGUGAGCAACAAGUUACUCAGUGAAGUGGUUCUAGACCAGCCUGCCCGCAUGACACUCUAUACUACUCCAUGCGGGAACUAGGACUGACUAGCCACUACAAUCAGUUAAUGCAUUUUCAUCAUUUCCUAAUGUUAUCUGCAAUUUCCACAAUCACUUCCAUUCAUUUCUAACAACCUAGCGAUCAAUCAAUACAAUGAUCUCACUCAUUGCCACACACGUCAAACCCUAGACUUAACCGACUCCUCUUGUCCGUCCGACCCGACCCUAUGACACCUUUAACUCCCCGUUACCCGACCAUGAGCUAAAACCCUACAAUGCACAUCCUUUUCAACUUCUCAUCUUUUCCUCUUUUCCUCUUUUCCUCUUUUCCUCAGUGGGUAGCCCCCCACUAGGCUUCUACCCCAUAUUCAUGUGGAUUCGCCACAUCUCCUAUGGGUGCUUCCAUAUUCAUGUGGAUUCGCCACAUCUCCUAUGGAUACCUAGCUUGGACCACUUACCCCACCUACAAACCUUAGACUCUCUAUAUGCUUUCCCACCCAUGCUUAACCUUAACAUCCUUCUUUCAUACUUUUACUUAUCAUUUCACUUCCUUAUCGUUUUCACUUAAUCCUCCCCAUUCCCAAUUACUUUCCCUUUUCAUUCAUACUUGAACUUGGACUAAAUCACUAGACGCCACCCGUUAUCGGUGUCACACACAAUACACAUCGCAUUCAAGUUCUACUUCAAUAACGUUUAUAAUCAUUGCUCAUCUAUCAUCCUAGCAUUUGUUCCUCUCUAGCAUCCUAACUUCAAUCACAACAACACAUGGGACAACACAACCAAACAUACAAGUAUCAACUACCAAUCAAUCAUUACCACGACAAUUCAAUUCAGUUCAUCAAGUCCCAUUUAUCAGUAUGAGGGUUCUUAUGCAUCAUGAUUCAUUCAUCUAUCAUCCUAGCAAUACCAUGUCCUAUCAACCUAACUCCCAAUCAGGGUCUAAUCAAGCCUAACUCCAACAUAAAGGAGUAUACAGAACCAUGAAAGAAGGUUGGGUUCGAAACACUCCACCUUAGCCUAGAUCUGGAUCUGGAUCUGGAACAGGAGACAAAGGGGAUGAGAUCUGAACAGAUCUGGAACAAGUAAACAAGAGAGACGAGAUCUGGUCACCACCACAACACCACACAUCCACCACCAUCACCACACUCGGACGAUCACCCCAUCACCACUUGGACGACCACCACCACCACCACCGGCGGCUCGGCUUGCUCUCGGGGGACUCACGGCGAGGAGAGAGGAAGAGAACCAACGGAAAGAGAAAGGAGAGGGAGAGGGAGAGAGAGGAGGCGUGAGAGAAGAAGAGAGAAGAGGAAAAGGGAAGCUUGACGGCUAGGGUUUUCUAGUCUCUCUAAAUCUCUGCAGAGCUUCGCUCUAGUUUCAGAAUGAGAGAAAAAUGAGAGGAGGCAGCUUUAUUUAUAGGAAAAGGAGGGAACCCUAGGUCAUUUACCCUAAUGGGCUGCAGUCUUAACGGGCUCUCCUUAAGAAAAUUUUUGGGCUAAGAAAAAUUUUUUUUUUUUUUUUUGGAACGCAACUUUUAUAAAUUUUAAAAUGGGUUAUGCAGUAGAAACUGCUACACGGUUCA
RNAcentral lists this long non-coding RNA (2537 nucleotides) under Brassica rapa (field mustard). RNAcentral's name for it is "long non-coding RNA (BRAP_LNC007374)". The record is from RNAcentral. Lineage: Eukaryota; Viridiplantae; Streptophyta; Magnoliopsida; Brassicales; Brassicaceae.